GAGGGUAUAGCUCAGUGGUAGAGCGCCUGCCUAGCAUGCAUGCUGUCCUGGGUUCAGUCCCCAGCACCUCCA
RNAcentral lists this transfer RNA (72 nucleotides) under Camelus bactrianus (Bactrian camel). It matches the Rfam family "tRNA". Rfam says of the family: Transfer RNA (tRNA) molecules are approximately 80 nucleotides in length. Their secondary structure includes four short double-helical elements and three loops (D, anti-codon, and T loops). Further hydrogen bonds mediate the characteristic L-shaped molecular structure. tRNAs have two regions of fundamental functional importance: the anti-codon, which is responsible for specific mRNA codon recognition, and the 3' end, to which the tRNAs corresponding amino acid is attached (by aminoacyl-tRNA synthetases). tRNAs cope with the degeneracy of the genetic code in two manners: having more than one tRNA (with a specific anti-codon) for a particular amino acid; and 'wobble' base-pairing, i.e. permitting non-standard base-pairing at the 3rd anti-codon position. Lineage: Eukaryota; Metazoa; Chordata; Mammalia; Artiodactyla; Camelidae. RNAcentral also lists the same sequence under 2 other names. The record is from Rfam by way of RNAcentral.